This 61-nucleotide transfer RNA is filed under the name Cordylochernes scorpioides. Its description in RNAcentral is "tRNA-Ser". It matches the Rfam family "tRNA". From Rfam's summary of the family: Transfer RNA (tRNA) molecules are approximately 80 nucleotides in length. Their secondary structure includes four short double-helical elements and three loops (D, anti-codon, and T loops). Further hydrogen bonds mediate the characteristic L-shaped molecular structure. tRNAs have two regions of fundamental functional importance: the anti-codon, which is responsible for specific mRNA codon recognition, and the 3' end, to which the tRNAs corresponding amino acid is attached (by aminoacyl-tRNA synthetases). tRNAs cope with the degeneracy of the genetic code in two manners: having more than one tRNA (with a specific anti-codon) for a particular amino acid; and 'wobble' base-pairing, i.e. permitting non-standard base-pairing at the 3rd anti-codon position. The record is from RNAcentral. Lineage: Eukaryota; Metazoa; Arthropoda; Arachnida; Pseudoscorpiones; Chernetidae.
GCAUCGGUGGUUCAGUGGUAGAAUGCUCGCUUGCCACGCGGUUCGAUUCCCGGCCGAUGCA